Molecule: unclassified non-coding RNA, 374 nt
Filed under: soil metagenome
Description: partial contains 5.8S ribosomal RNA, internal transcribed spacer 2, and large subunit ribosomal RNA
Rfam family: 5.8S ribosomal RNA (bases 1-121)
Source: RNAcentral
GAUGAAGAACGUAGCGAAAUGCGAUAAGUAAUGCGAAUUGCAGAAUUCCAGUGAGUCAUCGAAUCUUUGAACGCACAUUGCGCCCUUUGGUAUUCCGAAGGGCAUGCCUGUUCGAGCGUCAUUAUCACCCCUCAAGCCCUCGGCUUGGUGUUGGACGGUUUGGUGGAGGCCCCCUCGGGGGUUCCUGCCCCUCCCAAAGACAAUGACGGCGGCCUCGUUGGACCCCCGGUACACUGAGUUCUUCACGGGACACGUAUCGGACACAUGGGUUUACGGGACACGGUCUGCCUCCCCUCAGGGAGAAUCUUUCUAAGGUUGACCUCGGAUCAGGUAGGGAUACCCGCUGAACUUAAGCAUAUCAAUAAGCGGAGGGA